GCUGAAUAUAACUUUGAUGCCGUUCGGUGAUAACUC
RNAcentral lists this small RNA (36 nucleotides) under Leptospira interrogans serovar Canicola. Lineage: Bacteria; Pseudomonadati; Spirochaetota; Leptospiria; Leptospirales; Leptospiraceae. The record is from RNAcentral.